AAAUGAAUUGAUUAUAAUUUGACCAAAACUCUCUCCGAAUUUAACAGUAGAUAAUAAGAAAAUGUGAUAGCCAAACAAUUGCCUUUCAUUUGCCAAAUUCAAACAACAAUCAAGCCCAAUAAAAUUGCCAAAGCUUAAACUAAGGUUUAAAAUGCAACCAUACAAGUACUAAAAUAAAUUGAAAUUUGAAAUAUACCUGUGCAACAUCCUUAGAAAAU
This 218-nucleotide unclassified non-coding RNA is filed under the name Hevea brasiliensis (rubber tree). The record is from RNAcentral. Lineage: Eukaryota; Viridiplantae; Streptophyta; Magnoliopsida; Malpighiales; Euphorbiaceae.